UGCUCCAGGAAAAGACGGCGUUCCAGCCAUCUUACUCCCCACUAGGCCUUCUGGAGUGUGGGGGCAGAGGAAGACGAGGUCACACAAGACGGUGCCUUUGCCCAUCAACCCUGGCAGGGACGGAGGCCCUGAGGAGGCAAAAAGCUGCCAGAAUCAGGAGGGGAUGCGUGGCAGGGAGCCAUAGUGAGCCUGAAAUCAAGAGGAAGCCUGGAGGGUUGUAACCCAGCCUGCCCCCAGUCUGUGCCCAAGGAUAAAGGGUAGCACAUCUUGUGGAGAGCCUGACAGACUGGCAGAGGAUAACACACUGAAAGACCAUCAUUCUUUGUUCUUUGGUUGCAAAGAGGGGGCCAGAGCCCAUGUGUGUCAUGAAAGAAACAGGCCCAAACCUGCUGUUGUGUGGGUAGGGGGCUACCCUGGGGUCCCAAGUUGGGACUACAGAAGAAAUGGGAGUGCUGUAGAUAGCAUCUAGGGAAGCUGCAUCAGCAGCCCUGGGCUGGGCACACUCAUCUAUCGGGGCCAUGAGGAAAUCAUCCCCCAUGAAGUAGGAAAACACACAUCCACACAAAAGUGCCCAGUCACAAGGGUGAAAGGUCAGAAGUUACUCAUGAAUCCACUGAUCAAUGAAUGGAUGGAUACAAUAGGUCCAUCACUAUAGGGGAAUAUUACUCAGCCAUAAACAGGAAGGCUCUCCUGAACACACCAUCUCAUGGAUGCAGCUGGAGGACACUGUGGACAGUGAAAUAGGCUAGGCAUGG
Molecule: long non-coding RNA, 755 nt
Organism: Fukomys damarensis (Damara mole-rat)
Lineage: Eukaryota; Metazoa; Chordata; Mammalia; Rodentia; Bathyergidae
Exons: 3
Source: RefSeq, a predicted model, not a curated record